GUUUGCCAAUCCGGAAACAACAGUGAUUGAGGGGCUCUGGAAGGAAACAAUUGAUUGAUUGAUCAAUAAUUGAGCGACUCUGGAAGGAGUUGGGUUUGCCAAUCCGGAAACAGUAGGACAACCUGAAAUUAUGAAAUUCCAAGAUUGAAGGAAGUUUGUCUCAAGAUUAUAUGCCAUUAAACAAAGUAUACCCAAGUGUUUGCAACGAAAAAAUACAUACAUAAAAGGUAUUGAAAAUACAAAACCUGGAUCAGAAGUUGGCACACAACCUGGAGGAGUUGGCACACAACCUAAAUUAGGAGUUGGGUUUGCCAAUCCGGAAACCACAGUGAUUGUGGGGCUCUGGAAGGAAAUAAUUGAUUGAUUGAUCAACGAUUGUGUGGCUCUGGAAGGAGUUAGGUUUGCCAAUCCGGAAAUAGCAGGAGAACCUACAAUUAUGAAAUCUCAAGAUUUAAGCAAUUAUACGCGAUUAGGAAAUGUAAACACUAUAGAUUAUACCUGAAUUCUGUGUUCGUUUUGUCAAACCGGCUUUUGGUGUAAUCACUACAGAUUGCUGUAGACUGCCCUGAUGAGAACCCUGAUGUGGAAGAUCUCCACGAGCAUUUAUAGUUGCUGCUAGUUUCUUAGCUUUUUUACGUGCAUAAUCUUACCUUCACUUUGCAUUCAUCUGAGCUCUCACCUUAGAUGGCAAGUUUGC
Molecule: long non-coding RNA, 697 nt
Filed under: Setaria viridis
Lineage: Eukaryota; Viridiplantae; Streptophyta; Magnoliopsida; Poales; Poaceae
Description: long non-coding RNA (SVIR_LNC003424)
Source: RNAcentral